AUGGAAUCUGGGACAAAGUAUAUAGGCAUAUGUGCGAUUUCCUUCACAGUGAUGUCCUUCAACUUCUCAGCCUCUUCAACAUAUUCAAGCAUGUCCAUUGCAUAUACAAUUCCCACGAUAUUAUCUAUGCGCUCCUCAAAUACAGGAACUCUAGAGUACUGGUGGGUUUCCCAUAGGUUUUUGAAAUCAAUCAGUGUUGCGGCUGCAUCAAUUGCAACCACAUCUACCAAAGGUGUCAUCACCUCCCUUACAUGUGUGUCUUUAAUCUCGAGCACAUUCUCAAUCAUAUCCUGCUCGUCUUCUGCAAUUGCACCACUCAACUCCGCUCCCCGGAGCAUUAGCUUCAGUUCAUCUUCAGUCACAUAUGGCUCACUUCUUCCUUUAAGGCCUAGAAGCUUUAGAAUUCCCAUGGAUAUAAUUGUAACAAUACGCCCAACGGGGUACAGGAUGAUUGAAAGCCAAGCGAUUGGUCUGACCACAAACCUGGCAACUUCUGUGGCAUUGUGGACUGCAACAUUCUUAGGUGUGAUUUCUGUAAGAAGUAGAACGGCGACAGUCAUGACGCCUGUUGCUGCACUGACACCUGCUUCACCGAACAUUGCUGUGGCCGCCUCAGUGACAAUUGCCGUUGCGCCAAUGUUAACCACAGUUGUGCCGAUGAGUAUGGUUGUGAGGAAGCGAGUGACAUCAUUUCGGAGCAUUUUGAAGACGCCGUUCUCGGGUUCCUUAUCGGCCAGCUCACGGACCUUCCAGGGCCAGAGCGUGGUGAUGGAGGUCUCGGCCAUGGAGAAGAAGGCGGAGAGGCCGAGUAAUAGGGCGAGAAUAAGGCCCUGCUCCCUGAGCAGCUGCAGAACCUGCAGCACCGUGGGCCAGCUCCCUCGCAGUCGCAGCGCCACCCAGCCGUGGAGGGGAAUGGGGUGGAAGGGGGCGACAUGGCGCCGGCCGGCGGCGGAAUUGUGA
Molecule: ribosomal RNA, 960 nt
Filed under: Triticum aestivum (bread wheat)
Lineage: Eukaryota; Viridiplantae; Streptophyta; Magnoliopsida; Poales; Poaceae
Description: partial small subunit ribosomal RNA
Source: RNAcentral